RNAcentral lists this small nuclear RNA (190 nucleotides) under Castor canadensis (American beaver). RNAcentral's name for it is "U2 spliceosomal RNA (ENSCCNG00000006691.1)". It matches the Rfam family "U2 spliceosomal RNA". Rfam says of the family: U2 is a small nuclear RNA (snRNA) component of the spliceosome (involved in pre-mRNA splicing). Complementary binding between U2 snRNA (in an area lying towards the 5' end but 3' to hairpin I) and the branchpoint sequence (BPS) of the intron results the bulging out of an unpaired adenosine, on the BPS, which initiates a nucleophilic attack at the intronic 5' splice site, thus starting the first of two transesterification reactions that mediate splicing. The record is from Rfam by way of RNAcentral. Lineage: Eukaryota; Metazoa; Chordata; Mammalia; Rodentia; Castoridae.
AUCACUUCUCGGCCUUUUGGCUAAGAUCAAGUGUAGUAUCUGUUCUUAUCAGUUUAAUAUCUGAUACAUCCUCUAUCUGAGGACAAUAUAUUAAAUGGAUUUUUGGAACAGGGAGAUGGAAUAGGAGCUUGCUCCUCCACUCCACGCAUCAACCUGGUAUUGCAGUACCUCCAGGAACAGUGCACAGAAA